CGCCUGAUGGUGUAGCGGCAACACGCCUGCUUGUAUUAAGAUAGCAUACAGGUUUCAGCAGGAGAAAUCUUGUUCGACUCAAGGCUAGGCUG
Molecule: non-coding RNA, 92 nt
Organism: Mycena latifolia
Lineage: Eukaryota; Fungi; Basidiomycota; Agaricomycetes; Agaricales; Mycenaceae
Source: the annotation of a GenBank genome assembly